AACGAACGCUGGCGGCAUGCCUAACACAUGCAAGUCGAACGAUGCUUUCGGGCAUAGUGGCGCACGGGUGCGUAGCGCGUGGGAAUCUGCCCUUGGGUUCGGAAUAACAGUGAGAAAUUGCUGCUAAUACCGGAUGAUGUCUUCGGACCAAAGAUUUAUCGCCCAGGGAUGAGCCCGCGUAGGAUUAGCUAGUUGGUGGGGUAAUGGCCUACCAAGGCGACGAUCCUUAGCUGGUCUGAGAGGAUGAUCAGCCACACUGGGACUGAGACACGGCCCAGACUCCUACGGGAAGCAGCAGUGGGGAAUAUUGGACAAUGGGCGCAAGCCUGAUCCAGCAAUGCCGCGUGAGUGAUGAAGGCCUUAGGGUUGUAAAGCUCUUUUACCCGGGAUGAUAAUGACAGUACCGGGAGAAUAAGCUCCGGCUAACUCCGUG
Molecule: ribosomal RNA, 433 nt
Filed under: uncultured bacterium
Lineage: Bacteria
Description: partial 16S ribosomal RNA
Rfam family: Bacterial small subunit ribosomal RNA
Source: RNAcentral